This 785-nucleotide long non-coding RNA is filed under the name Prunus dulcis (almond). RNAcentral's name for it is "sRNA ncRNA". The record is from RNAcentral. Lineage: Eukaryota; Viridiplantae; Streptophyta; Magnoliopsida; Rosales; Rosaceae.
UUUAAAACCAACAUAAACCUAAAAAAGAAAACCCUAUUAGAUUGGGAAUCUUUGUACGUAGAGUGCAGUUCUUCCUUGGUUCUUCGUUCAAUUUCUUCUUUGUUACUUCGUUUCUUCGUUUAUUCUUCAUACUAUAUUUAUAAAAUUUCAAUUCUAAUUUUUCUAACUUAAUGUCCAUGGUUGCAACAUUUCUGUUAAUGGACUCUUGAGCCCUAUUCAAAGUGCUAUGAUUUAAUAUCAUCAAUUCACUUUGAGCCUGCAUCAAAGGUUAGUGCUGAUAGGCUUGGAAAAUUAUUGAGUCUAGUAAUAUGAUGAUUCUGACAUAUGUGUAGCAAAAGAUGCUUGUGCUGCAUGUAGGCAUGGAGAAAUUUCGUGCUACCCAAUGUGUUCAAAAUAUUAUACUACAAACUCAUUGGUAAUUGCGUAUGCAGAACCUAUAUGGCUAGUUGGGGAUCAAACAGAUUGGGUGGUGCUUGAUGAUGUACGAGAUAGAAUUGUGCUACCACCAAUUACACGAAGAAGGCACGGCAGGCGUAAGGAAAAGAGAAUCCCAUCACGAGGAGAAAAACCAUCAACUCGUAAGUGUUCAAUAUGUGGUUCAAUUGGCCAUUAUCGACAAACUUGCAAGAAUCCAAUUGCACUUCAUCCUACCUCAUAGACGGAGUGGUGUAAUAUUUUUCUCUUUAACUUUAUGAAUUGUAAUGAAUGAAUAUUUAAUUAUAUAUUUUUUUAAUGUAGAUCAUUUUAUUGAAUUUUUUGUUCUACAGACUACCUCUAAAUUUGUG